This 73-nucleotide transfer RNA is filed under the name Spirochaetales bacterium. RNAcentral describes it as "tRNA-Met". It matches the Rfam family "tRNA". Rfam says of the family: Transfer RNA (tRNA) molecules are approximately 80 nucleotides in length. Their secondary structure includes four short double-helical elements and three loops (D, anti-codon, and T loops). The record is from RNAcentral. Lineage: Bacteria; Pseudomonadati; Spirochaetota; Spirochaetia; Spirochaetales.
GGUGGCGUAGCUCAGUCGGCAGAGCAAGCGGCUCAUAUCCGCUUGGUCAGGGGUUCAAGUCCCUUCGCCACUA